RNAcentral lists this ribosomal RNA (832 nucleotides) under Enterococcus faecalis. RNAcentral describes it as "bacterial SSU rRNA". It matches the Rfam family "Bacterial small subunit ribosomal RNA", at positions 50 to 854 of the family's 1533-position model. Lineage: Bacteria; Bacillati; Bacillota; Bacilli; Lactobacillales; Enterococcaceae. The record is from RNAcentral.
UAGACAUGCAAGUCGAACGCUUCUUUCCUCCCGAGUGCUUGCACUCAAUUGGAAAGAGGAGUGGCGGACGGGUGAGUAACACGUGGGUAACCUACCCAUCAGAGGGGGAUAACACUUGGAAACAGGUGCUAAUACCGCAUAACAGUUUAUGCCGCAUGGCAUAAGAGUGAAAGGCGCUUUCGGGUGUCGCUGAUGGAUGGACCCGCGGUGCAUUAGCUAGUUGGUGAGGUAACGGCUCACCAAGGCCACGAUGCAUAGCCGACCUGAGAGGGUGAUCGGCCACACUGGGACUGAGACACGGCCCAGACUCCUACGGGAGGCAGCAGUAGGGAAUCUUCGGCAAUGGACGAAAGUCUGACCGAGCAACGCCGCGUGAGUGAAGAAGGUUUUCGGAUCGUAAAACUCUGUUGUUAGAGAAGAACAAGGACGUUAGUAACUGAACGUCCCCUGACGGUAUCUAACCAGAAAGCCACGGCUAACUACGUGCCAGCAGCCGCGGUAAUACGUAGGUGGCAAGCGUUGUCCGGAUUUAUUGGGCGUAAAGCGAGCGCAGGCGGUUUCUUAAGUCUGAUGUGAAAGCCCCCGGCUCAACCGGGGAGGGUCAUUGGAAACUGGGAGACUUGAGUGCAGAAGAGGAGAGUGGAAUUCCAUGUGUAGCGGUGAAAUGCGUAGAUAUAUGGAGGAACACCAGUGGCGAAAGCGGCUCUCUGGUCUGUAACUGACGCUGAAGCUCGAAAGCGUGGGGAGCAAACAGAUUAGAUACCCUGGUAGUCCACGCCGUAACGAUGAGUGCUAAGUGUUGGAGGGUUUCCGCCCUUCAGUGCUGCAGCAA